AGUGAACGCUGGCGGUAGGCCUAACACAUGCAAGUCGAACGGCAGCACAGUAAGAGCUUGCUCUUACGGGUGGCGAGUGGCGGACGGGUGAGGAAUACAUCGGAAUCUACUUUUUCGUGGGGGAUAACGUAGGGAAACUUACGCUAAUACCGCAUACGACCUACGGGUGAAAGCAGGGGAUCUUCGGCCCUCGCGCGAUUGAAGGAGCCGAUGUCGGAUUAGCUAGUUGGCGGGGUAAAGGCCCACCAAGGCGACGAUCCGUAGCUGGUCUGAGAGGAUGAUCAGCCACACUGGAACUGAGACACGGUCCAGACUCCUACGGGAGGCAGCAGUGGGGAAUAUUGGACAAUGGGCGCAAGCCUGAUCCAGCCAUACCGCGUGGGUGAAGAAGGCCUUCGGGUUGUAAAGCCCUUUUGUUGGGAAAGAAAAGCAGCAGGUUAAUACCCCGCUGUUCUGACGUUACCCAAAGAAUAAGCACCGGCUAACUUCGUG
RNAcentral lists this ribosomal RNA (492 nucleotides) under uncultured bacterium. RNAcentral describes it as "partial 16S ribosomal RNA". It matches the Rfam family "Bacterial small subunit ribosomal RNA", at positions 29 to 507 of the family's 1533-position model. The record is from RNAcentral.